RNAcentral lists this transfer RNA (20 nucleotides) under Lopidium concinnum. RNAcentral describes it as "partial tRNA-Ser". Lineage: Eukaryota; Viridiplantae; Streptophyta; Bryopsida; Hookeriales; Hypopterygiaceae. RNAcentral also lists the same sequence under 42 other names. The record is from RNAcentral.
CGGAAAGAGAGGGAUUCGAC